Molecule: ribosomal RNA, 557 nt
Filed under: Nothofagozyma chilensis
Lineage: Eukaryota; Fungi; Ascomycota; Pichiomycetes; Serinales; Cephaloascaceae
Description: eukaryotic LSU rRNA
Rfam family: 5.8S ribosomal RNA (bases 207-360)
Source: RNAcentral
AACCUGCGGAAGGAUCAUUACAGUAUUCUUUUGCCAGCGCUUAAUUGCGCGGCGAAAAACCUUACACACAGUGUUUUCUUAUUAUAAGAACUCUAGCUUUGGCUUGGCUUAGAGAUAAGUUGGGCCAGAGGUUACUUAAACUUCAAUUUUAUUGAAUAUUUUUUAUUACACAGUCAAUUUGUUGAUUAAAUUCAAACAAUCUUCAAAACUUUCAACAACGGAUCUCUUGGUUCUCGCAUCGAUGAAGAACGCAGCGAAAUGCGAUAAGUAUUGUGAAUUGCAGAUUUUCGUGAAUCAUCGAAUCUUUGAACGCACAUUGCGCCCUCUGGUAUUCCGGAGGGCAUGCCUGUUUGAGCGUCAUUUCUCUCUCAAACCCUUGGGUUUGGUAUUGAGUGAUACUCUGCAAAGUGUUAGCUUGAAAAGUAUUGGCAGGAGUGGAGUACUUAAUAGUACGAUCCUGAUUUAUCAAUGUAUUAGGUUUUACCAACUCGUUGAUUUUGCAGGUUUUGUAAAUUUUAAGACUUUAUUUUAGAGCUCGGCCUUACAACCAACCAAAA